AGUAUGCUCUAAUGGGAAACAGGCUUCAACAUAAACGGUUGUUUUCUGCUUGGUCCUAGAGCUCAACCAGUGUCAGUUUAAUAUAGCGUAAUAUUGUUUUUGGAUGGUAAAAAGUGCAGGGGUCAAAACUUGACUUUGGAAAAGUGGGGGGGACAUGUCCCCCCUGUCCCCCCCAAAAUUACGUCCAUGAGGGGUAUUGAGUUCCACAGUUUUGGGGCACAGAUAGAAAAAGCCCUUUCCCCGCGAGUCCUCAAACAUGUCGUAGGGAUGGUGAUGAGGAGCUGAUCUGUAGACCUAAGAGCAUGAGACGGCUGACUUUCUGUACCACAUCCGUGUGCAAAAAAUAUAACAUGGCAGUGCGUGUAGACAGGAUGUUAUGGCUUCCCUCUUCAGCAACAGAAGACCCCAGAGACUGCCCUCUUUUUAUACAAGUCUAUGGGGCAAAUGCACAUUCAGGAAAUCUAGAGCUGAUAUGCAUCAGCCACAGCCACAAAUUACCUUUCCAAUUUUCAGAAUGCAGUGUAUGCACACAGAAAAUGAAGCAGAUUCAUGAUUUGAAAGUCAUCUCUUUCCAUCUGUCCCCAUCCCUUUCUCAUACUAUCUUUUGUUGCUCCGCAUGUUGAGGAAAUAUCGUGGGAGAGAUGAGUAAAGCACAUGUCAGGAGACGUAAGGGCUUCUGUGGUGGCCUGUGAGCUGAAGCUGUCAGAGGAAAUGCUGUCAGCUCAACACUCGGGUAUCAAGGGCAUCUUUGUGUCUUCUCCACUGUCUGUCCUCUGUUGCCGUGCUUAAUUACAGCGUCUGUGUGUUACUUCUACUAUUGUCAGGGGCUUGACAUGGCUACACUGUUGGCAUGCGUGGAGCCAAGUUUUGACACAGUGCCCUGCAGACUGUGCAGGGUUACUGUUGAAGACUUGUCUGUAAAGGCAAGUGAGUCCGAAACACCAAAGAGGCCAGGAAAAUCUAAUCAUUUUUCUUUGUGUUUUCAUGUGUUAACCCAAAUGGUGCGCAAAGGAUGGAGGCAUGCUACCUCACACCCCAGAUUAACCAGGAAGUAGUUGACAGCUCUCGGUGCCCUGGCCUGUCGCUAAUUUCUCCACUUCCUUCCUGCUAGCCUAACUUAGCAUCAAUCACCCCCGCUCCACUCAAAGCGCUGGCGCAAACCAAUUUCCUUAAUGUUGAUUGCAUUGUAAACCAACUCUCCUCGCCUGCUCUGGGUCAUGUUCCAUUUCGGUCCUUUAUUGUGUCUUGCCUUCCUUCCACAGCUGCUGCUGCUUCUUUCUCAGAUAAAAUACUGAAAUCAACUCUCAAAAGCUUCAGAUAACUCUCCACACUUUGCUUGGACAGUGUUUGUGUCACAGCGUUGAGCAACAGAGUAUAAAAUGUAGCUUUUUAAAAAGUAGAGAAUAAGGGUCAUUUGACCUCCUUUUACCGGAUGAGAGUAGCCACAGAGUACACACCAAGAUUAGCCCGGAUUUUGCCGGUAUGCCUUCUACAUGUGGGUGUUCAGAGAGCUCAGUGAAGGAGUGAGAGGAGAUUCCAGCUUCCUGCUGAGGCAUGAGAAAUUCCCUACAUGCCUCUGAAGUUUUAGAGUUACCAUCAACACAAGAUGAUGUUAGGUAUUUCUCACCUUCACAGGAUCUGUACACCCAGCCUGCAUCUGAGGUUAGGAGCCAUACCAUGUGCUUUAACGUGAGGCCCAUGUGCUCGUGGAGCUUUUAAUGGUCUUUGCCCUUACUGACAGGAUUCCUCCCAGUUUAGCAUCACAAGUGAUUAAAAGUGAUAAGUGAUCACAUUUUAAAACUGUGAUCUUAAAAUUCGGAUUCUGUGCCAGUGCUGCGUGAAGACUGAGUUCUUCGUAUAUCUAAAGCGAGAAGAGUUAUGCUUGAAUGCAGCUACUAUCAGCUCUCACUUCAUUAGUUUCAUUCCAGCCGAUUUUAAGAUCCGGUGCCAGAAUUCUGCUCCUCCACACCCUUUCACAUGCAACGGGUCCUCCCACUGACAGCAUGAGAAUUAACACUACAUAAGUCUGCAGGAAUCUUUAAAGACCUGAACACGCACCUUGCAAAUGCCCUGUAACAGAGUUAGGAUGAGACUUAAAAAAUCUGCAUGACGAUCCAAGUAGUUAGCACUUUUUUUUUCUUCCAAAUUUUGACACAGCUUGUGUCUUUAAUUCGGUUUGUCUGCUUUUGUCUUCUCUCUGCACGAGCUCCAUCAGAUCUUCAUAUCCAGUAGCAGGCCAUUCCCAGUGGAGAAAUUGAUUAAGUGCAGUGGCUUGGGGGGGGUGAAGGAGAAGUAGCCCCUUCUGGGACUUUCCUCUGGUGCUCUGAACACACCACAGCCACACAGGAUACAUCACUCAAUCUGCUGCUUGCAGACACAUACGGGGUCUGCGCUGGGCAACAUAAGGGCUGCACAGCCAGAAAGAAACCGUAGCUGCUUUAACUCUUGUCCUAAUGGCUGGUACAGAGUGGGUCGGGUUUCAGCCUCGCUCCAGGGCCCACCGCUGACAUGCUGCUACAUUAUGUUAGCCUGUGUUUUAUUUGGCUCUGUUUGGUAUAGCGUAGUGCGUAGGAAGUGGGUCGGGGGAUGUAGGGUGGGGGUACAACUGAAGGCCCGGCAGGAGGGCUUUUCCAACACAAACACUGAGAGGCUCAUGCCGGGUGUGCUUUGAUACACACAAACUGUUGCGUUACAUGCUGCCUAAGCCGCAGUAGGAGCCAUUUUUACCUUCAUGUUCGUGGGGUUUGUGGGGUAUAAAUGUCAGCAGGUUCAGCUUCCAAAAUCAUCCGGGGCAUGUCGUCCCUGCGCGUAACCCACAACUUUAUAUUUCUUUUUUUUUAAGCGAGCCGAGCUCAAAUGCUGCCUGGUGUUGGAUGGCGUGUGUUUCACUUGAGGCUGAUGGAUGGCUCAGAUUGCUAUGACCUGGAUGCCCCAGCUUCCAAAUCAUGGCUGCCAGCAUGGCCACUGCUUACACAACCGCUGACACUGAACAGUCUGGGGUUGCCUAGACUGGCGACAUGCUCUGAAGGAUUCCCAGAGAAAGACCCUAGGUGCACACACACACACAUGCUUUGCUGCUGACACGCGCAUGAAAAGUGGGGAUUGGGUUGCCCUGACAAAUUACCUACAUCCCGACACGCUGGUGUCUCCGCAUCGGAGAAACUCGAUUGCCCUGCAGGAGGCGGGUGGUUAAGUGGAAGGUCAGGAAAUUGAGUUGAGAGGGCACCUAAAGCCCACACUUUCUCUGCUCUAGGCAAAGAAUAGGAGGAUCUAAAUGUUUAGUCUAUCACCACAAGGUUCACACUUAACUUACAGUACAAGUGCUGCACUCAGACUCAGAAAAUGCAAGAGGUGCACACGUGUACGUGUGAAUGGCAUACAGCAGUGAAGGCCAGCGUUCCAGACAGCAGGGAAAGGAUUAGGAGUCUGGAAUGCAAGACACUCCUUGACCCCACCUCGACCUUUGAGGCUAAAUCCCUUGCCCAUAUCUGUCCCUCAUGGGUCAUGAUCCAAUUGGUCGCCCCUUUAGAAUGCUGACCUCUCGGGCACCUUGUCACUCAGUCGGCUUGAAACAUCUCCAUUCACUGACCGAGGGGCCUAAGCUAGCUUGGCUGGAAAACAACCGGCGGACAUCAAAGUAUGAAAGCAGCAUUUCAGAACAGAAAUGUUUUUGUUAAUGCAAGCCUGCUUAUAUGGAAAUAAAAACGCACCGCUCUUGUUCUGUCUUUUAGGUGUUCGUGUUCACCUAAAACAUAAAUGAAGUGUUUCCCUUUCCCCCCCUAUUCUAACGGCCUUUCCAUUUGCAAGCGUGUCGACCGAGAGUGAUGUUAAUGGAGGUGGAGAGGAGCGAACACAUCAGAACGGCGGGCGCAGAGGAGCAGCUGUGAAGAGCCUGGAAGCCCCUCCCCCCUCGCUUCGCCUCUCACCUGUGUCACCGCUGCCUGCCAGGGCCAUCAAAGGUGCAUCAGACGUCUUCUUUGGCACCUUCUCACCUGUGGCGCUGUGCUGCUCCUUGCUGGCUAACGCGCCUCCACCAUCACCCACCUCUCCACCUCUUGUUCCUCAAGGCAUCUGUCACUCACCUGUCACAAUUUUCAUCAGCUCCUGUGCUUUCUCACAACAGCCUUCGCGGAGGUGGCAAUGAAGCCAUCGGAGCGAACAUCGUGACCAUUAUGUCCUAGUUCCCGUUUUGGUUGGUGCUGAAGCGGACAUGUGAAUAACAAGACGAGUCACACUCUUUUGGAAGCAUCUGAAAAGCUUCACAUUUAAUCUUUCACAGACUAAAGGACAUUUUUAUUCUUUUUUAAAGACAUUCUACUUGCUUUUGUCUUAGAUACAAUCCAACAAUAAAAAAAAUAACCCUUAUGUUGAGUGUACUCAUCUAAUUUGUAAAAUUUGUUCUUAAAUUGAAACUAGAUGAAUUUGAGGAUUUCUUUCAUCAAAAGGGUUUGGUGUAGAAAAUGUUUUCAAAGAUUUUAAAGGUGUGGAAUACUGGGGAUUUUAUUUGCUAUUUCUGAUUAUAAUCUGUCACUCAGACUUUUUAAUGCAGGCUGAACAUGAAAAUAGUCUCCUACACCUUUCUCCUGCAUUAGUUUCUGAUAGAAAUUAGAAAUGCCAAGAUUUUUAAAAGCCUGGCCACCCUACGUCAAGCGGUCGCAUGGACUCGCCAAACUUGGCUAGCGAUGAGGAAGGCUGUUGUUUUAGCGUCCAGGAAACAGCAGAGAACGUCUCGGUUAGCAAAAACUAACCAUUAGCACUAUUAACUUCACCACACAGCAGAAGCUUCUCCAAGCUUGUGUUAUUUGUGGAGACAACACAUGUCUACCAAAUAUCAGGAAAUAAGACUAGAUGUUGCCGUGUUGUGCCAAUCUCUGCUGCAGCAGACUUGUCCAUACUGAUCCAGACACUUCUGGGCUUUUUAUUUUUAUUUAUUUAUUUUUUUGCAUCAACUAUGGCUUCCAAGGCAUUCAUUCUUACCAGAGACCCCUACAAAUGUAUUGAUUGAAUGAGCGUCCUACACCUUUAAAAUAUGCUAAAUAAACAACAAAACUAUUUGCUUAGAA
Molecule: non-coding RNA, 5063 nt
Organism: Nothobranchius furzeri (turquoise killifish)
Lineage: Eukaryota; Metazoa; Chordata; Actinopteri; Cyprinodontiformes; Nothobranchiidae
Source: RefSeq, a predicted model, not a curated record